UUAAGAUAGUAAGAGCAUACGGUGGAUGCCUUGGCGAUAUCUGCCGAUGAAGGACGCGACAAGCUGCGAAAAGCUGCGGUGAGGUGCAAAUGACCUUUGACCCGCAGAUGUCCGAAUGGAGCAAUCCGGCUGUGGUUAUGCACAGUCACCCAUGCCUGUGAGUAUGGGAGGGAACCAGGCGAACUGAAACAUCUAAGUAGCCUGAGGAGAAGUAAUCAAACGAGAUACCCCCAGUAGCGGCGAGCGAACGGGGCAGAAGCCCAAACCGCAGAAGGAAACUUUUACGGGGUUGAGGGCCGUCAUACGAACGUGGAAUCCAGCUGAAGCUUCUGGGAAGGAGCGCCGCAGGAUGUGAAAGCCAUGUAAGCGAAAGAGGAAGCGGAACAGACGGUACCAGAGUACCGCGGGACACGAGAAACCCCGUGGGAAGCAGGGGGGACCACCCUCCAAGGCAAAACACAGAUAUCGACCGAUAGCGCAUAGUACCAUGAGGGAAAGGUGAAAAGCACCCCGGGAGGGGAAUGAAACAGAACCUGAAACCGUAUGUUUACAAGCAGUCGGAGACCGUAUAUAUAUCAGGUCGACGGCGUGCCUAUUGAAGAAUGAACCGGCGAGUUAUGAGGUCCAGCGAGGUUAAGCAGGAAAUGCGGAGCCGAAGCGAAAGCGAGUCUUAACAGGGCGAAUAGUUGGACUGCAUAGACCCGAAACCACAGUGAUCUACCCAUGUCCAGGUUGAAGCACAGGUAAAAAUGUGUGGAGGACCGAACCUAUAUCCGUUGAAAAGGGUUAGGAUGAGGUGUGGGUAGGGGUGAAAUUCCAAUCGAACGUGGAGAUAGCUGGUUCUCCCCGAAAUAGCUUUAGGGCUAGCCUCAGGGUAAAGAUUGCAGGCGGUAGAGCACUGAUCAGGAGAGGGACCUACCCGGUUACCAAACCCAGUCAAACUACGAAUGGCUGCAAUUAUACCUGGGAGUCAGACUACGACUUAUAAGGGCCGUGGUCAAAAGGGAAACAGCCCAGAUCAUCAGCUAAGGUCCCAAAUGCCGUGCUAAGUGGCGAAGGAUGUGGCGUUUCAUAAACAACCAGGAUGUUGGCUCAGAAGCAGCCACCAUUUAAAGAGUGCGUAAUAGCUCACUGGUCGAGAGACGCUGCGCCGAAAAUGUCCGGGGCUCAAGCACGGAACCGAAGCUAUGGCAUUGCGUAAGCAAUGGGUAGGGGAGCGUUCUUAUGGGGAAGAAGCAUUACCGUAAGGAGAUGUGGACACAUAAGAAGUGAGAAUGCCGGUAUGAGUAUCGAAAAGAAAGGUGAGAAUCCUUUCCACCGAAAGCCCGAGGGUUCCUGAGCAACGAUCGUCGUCUCAGGGUAAGUCGGGACCUAAGCCGAGGCACAGACGCAUAGGCGAUGGACAACAGGUUGAAAUUCCUGUACCGGAUGGAGUCAUUUGAGCAAUGGAGUGACGCAGGAGGGCACAUGAUCGCGCGACUGGAAGAGCGCGUCCAAGUGCGUAUGUUGAAUCGGAGGCAAAUCCCCGAUUCUGAAAGCAGAGACAUGAUGGGGAGUUAUAAGCGAUUAUGACGAACUCAUGGAUCCCACACUGCCAAGAAAAACUUCUAGCGAGACGAAAUCCGCCCGUACCGUAAACCGACACAGGUAGGCGGGGAGAGAAUCCUAAGGUGCGCGGGAAAACCCUCGUUAAGGAACUCGGCAAAUUGCAUCCGUAACUUCGGGAGAAGGAUGGCCCUGAGUAGGCGAAGUGCAGAAACGCACGGAACAGAAAAGGGUGGCAGAAAAGAGGCCCAAGCAACUGUUUACCAAAAACACAGGUGCCUGCGAAAGCGAAAGCUGAAGUAUAGGUGCUGACGCCUGCCCGGUGCUGGAAGGUUAAGGAGAGAGGUUAGCGCAAGCGAAGCUUUGAACUGAAGCCCCAGUGAACGGCGGCCGUAACUAUAACGGUCCUAAGGUAGCGAAAUUCCUUGUCGGGUAAG
RNAcentral lists this ribosomal RNA (1982 nucleotides) under metagenome. Its description in RNAcentral is "bacterial LSU rRNA". It matches the Rfam family "Bacterial large subunit ribosomal RNA", at positions 1 to 1980 of the family's 2925-position model. The record is from RNAcentral.